Molecule: ribosomal RNA, 433 nt
Filed under: uncultured bacterium
Lineage: Bacteria
Description: partial 16S ribosomal RNA
Rfam family: Bacterial small subunit ribosomal RNA
Source: RNAcentral
AACGAACGCUGGCGGCAUGCCUAACACAUGCAAGUCGAACGACACCUUCGGGUCUUGUGCCUCACGGGUACGUAAGGCGGGGGAACCUGCCCUUAGGUUCGUAAUAACUCGCCGAAAGUGGUCCGAAGACCGGAUAAUUUCUUCGGCCCAAAGAUUUAGCGAGUUUGGAGGGGCCCGCGUUGGAUUAGCUAGUUGGUAGGGUAAAAGCCUACCAAGGCGACGAUCCGUAUCUGGUCAGAGAGGAUGAUCAGCCACACUGGGGCUGAGAAACGGCCCAGAAUCCUACGGGAGGCAGCAGUGGGGAAUCUAGGACUGCGGGGGAUAGCAUGAUGCAGCUCUGGCGGGUGAGUGCUGAAGGCCUUAGGGUUGUACUGCUCUCUUACCCGGGAUGAUAAUGACAGUACCGGGAGAAUAAGCUCCGGCUAACUACGUG